CCUACGGGAGGCAGCAGUGGGGGAUAUUGCACAAUGGGGGAAACCCUGAUGCAGCGACGCCGCGUGGGUGAAGAAGUAUUUCGGUAUGUAAAGCCCUAUCAGCAGGGAAGAAAGAAGACGGUACCUGACUAAGAAGCCCCGGCUAACUACGUGCCAGCAGCCGCGGUAAUACGUAGGGGGCGAGCGUUAUCUGGAUUCACUGGGUGUAAAGGGAGCGUAGACGGCCGUGCAAGCCAGGAGUGAAAGCCCGGGGCCCAACCCCGGGACUGCUCUUGGAACUGUGCGGCUGGAGUGCGGGAGGGGCAGGCGGAAUUCCUGGUGUAGCGGUGAAAUGCGUAGAUAUCAGGAGGAACACCGGCGGCGAAGGCGGCCUGCUGGACCGCGACUGACGUUGAGGCUCGAAAGCGUGGGGAGCGAACAGGAUUAGAUACCCCAGUAGUC
Molecule: ribosomal RNA, 441 nt
Filed under: uncultured bacterium
Lineage: Bacteria
Description: partial 16S ribosomal RNA
Rfam family: Bacterial small subunit ribosomal RNA
Source: RNAcentral